This 685-nucleotide ribosomal RNA is filed under the name uncultured beta proteobacterium. RNAcentral's name for it is "bacterial SSU rRNA". It matches the Rfam family "Bacterial small subunit ribosomal RNA", at positions 88 to 769 of the family's 1533-position model. Lineage: Bacteria; Pseudomonadati; Pseudomonadota; Betaproteobacteria. The record is from RNAcentral.
GUGGCGAGUGGCGAACGGGUGAGUAAUACAUCGGAACGUGUCCAGUAGUGGGGGAUAGCCCGGCGAAAGCCGGAUUAAUACCGCAUACGACCUAUGGGUGAAAGCGGGGGAUCGCAAGACCUCGCGCUAUUGGAGCGGCCGAUGUCAGAUUAGGUAGUUGGUGGGGUAAAGGCCUACCAAGCCUACGAUCUGUAGCUGGUCUGAGAGGACGACCAGCCACACUGGGACUGAGACACGGCCCAGACUCCUACGGGAGGCAGCAGUGGGGAAUUUUGGACAAUGGGGGCAACCCUGAUCCAGCCAUGCCGCGUGCGGGAAGAAGGCCUUCGGGUUGUAAACCGCUUUUGUCAGGGAAGAAAUCCUUUGGGUUAAUACCUCGGAGGGAUGACGGUACCUGAAGAAUAAGCACCGGCUAACUACGUGCCAGCAGCCGCGGUAAUACGUAGGGUGCAAGCGUUAAUCGGAAUUACUGGGCGUAAAGCGUGCGCAGGCGGUUAUGCAAGACAGAUGUGAAAUCCCCGGGCUCAACCUGGGAACUGCAUUUGUGACUGCAUAGCUAGAGUACGGUAGAGGGAGAUGGAAUUCCGCGUGUAGCAGUGAAAUGCGUAGAUAUGCGGAGGAACACCGAUGGCGAAGGCAGUCUCCUGGACCUGUACUGACGCUCAUGCACGAAAGCGUGGGGAGC